RNAcentral lists this ribosomal RNA (497 nucleotides) under uncultured bacterium. Its description in RNAcentral is "partial 16S ribosomal RNA". It matches the Rfam family "Bacterial small subunit ribosomal RNA", at positions 28 to 507 of the family's 1533-position model. The record is from RNAcentral.
GACGAACGCUGGCGGCGUGCCUAAUACAUGCAAGUUGAGCGCUGAAGGUUGGUACUUGUACCAACUGGAUGAGCAGCGAACGGGUGAGUAACGCGUGGGGAAUCUGCCUUUGAGCGGGGGACAACAUUUGGAAACGAAUGCUAAUACCGCAUAAAAACUUUAAACACAAGUUUUAAGUUUGAAAGAUGCAAUUGCAUCACUCAAACAUGAUCCCGCGUUGUAUUAGCUAGUUGGUGAGGUAAACGUUCACCAAGGCGAUGAUACAUAGCCGACCUGAGAGGGUGAUCGGCCACAUUGGGACUGAGACAAGGCCCAAACUCCUACGGGAGGCAGAAGUAGGGAAUCUUCGGCAAUGGACGAAAGUCUGAACGAGCAAAGCCGCGUGAGUGAAGAAGGUUUUCGGAUCGUAAAACUCUGUUGGUAGAGAAGAACGUUGGUGAGAGUGGAAAGCUCAUCAAGUGACGGUAACUACCCAGAAAGGGACGGCUAACUACGUG